UUCUGUAAGCUUUCCAGACGUGUUUAAUCGCAUUUCAUUUUCAUAGCUUCUGGCCGACCGUGAUAUAAUACACCGCAUCCCAUUGUUGUGUGAGAAAUUGAUAUUCAGUUUAGGGGAGACGAAGAGGGACGUGCGACGACGGUGCGAAAGCAAUCCCAUGGACGAGAAAGUGAAAAUUCAUUGAAGCGUCAAGAGGGGCGAUCGAAAGCCCUGAUAAAAGAACUUGUGGCUCUAUCUUGCCUCGGCACGAGCUGUUCUAUGAGUAAUUGCUUCCCCCACAGAGUGGCCAAGUGGAAUGGCUAACAAUGCCAAUCCCGAAGGACAUGAUCAUGAUGAGGAAGAUAACGGUGAACGUGGCGAGAUCCAUGAUGACCUUGCUCAAGUUGAUAACAAUUGGCCCUAUUCGAUCAUGAAGUUGGCACCAGUAGAACAACCGCAUGCCACUCAUCACAGCAGCAACGGACAAAGCGCAAUUGGAGAACAUGUCGAAUGGAACUCGUUUCCUCAUCACAUCCUCGGAGCAUUCACCAUCAAUGCACGGGUGUAUUUUGCCCAUGAGAAUCCGGGCAAUAAAUGCCAUGAGAAGAAACGAAUGCAUGACCAGGUCGUAAGUUCUCCAGAAGUUGAAGGCUUUCACGACUGAGCGGACCGAUGUCAAGAUGUAGGCAUCGUUGACUAUCAUGGCAAUGGUGAAGAUGAAAAGACAAGAGUGAUACCAAUGGAAGUUAUUGAGAAGUUGAUCUCUGUCGGUGACGGAGCACAUGACGCUCAGGAUGACCAAAGCAACGAAAGCAAGAUACAUUCCUGUGAAGGAGAUAAAUCUGUUCAAGGGCUCAUCGAGAUUGCAAUUGUAGGGUCUCUUGGAUCGCUCUUCGGUGUUCCGGCUUUCGUUGCCGUUCCUCGGGCCUCUGAUUAUCUCGCGGAUCAGGUCGAGCAGAAGUUUAAUGGUUCGAAUGUGCGAAAGAGCUGAACAGAGGCUUUGGGAAACCGGUUGGUUCAGUCAUCUCGAGUUUCUACUCAACAUCCAAACAACGCUUUUUGUCGGAGUCUAGUAAUGACUACGGGUCGAGAAAAUAUUCUUUUAAAUAAAAUAUUCCUGUUAACAUCUCUUGGCUCUUUUGGAAAAGAAAAUAAUAAUUUUCCUUUUUUUUUUAAUUUCAUGCAAUAUUUCAGAUGAAAUGCAUGAAAGAUGUUGGACAUAUACGUACGUACAAAAAUGUAUACUAUCCAUUUGCUUAUUUACUAUUGUUGGUUCUUGAACAAAUCAUUCCUGAAAUAAAAUCAGUCAAUCACAUCGGCUGACUCUGCAGAAUAUUUCUCGUUAUUAAAAAAGGGGAAAAGAGCAUUAGUAGGGAAGAACCAUUAUUUUUUUGCUUCAUUCAAAACUUUCAAAACCAAGUGAAGACAGAUACAAACAAAAGUGCUCAAACUUCUUAUGAAUGAUUUGAGUUUCUGCAAGAUUGUAAAAUAAGAGUGAUAAGUAGAGUUUUUCUUAGUGUGUACU
Molecule: long non-coding RNA, 1504 nt
Organism: Tigriopus californicus
Lineage: Eukaryota; Metazoa; Arthropoda; Copepoda; Harpacticoida; Harpacticidae
Exons: 3
Source: RefSeq, a predicted model, not a curated record